RNAcentral lists this ribosomal RNA (263 nucleotides) under uncultured bacterium. RNAcentral describes it as "partial 16S ribosomal RNA". It matches the Rfam family "Bacterial small subunit ribosomal RNA", at positions 793 to 1055 of the family's 1533-position model. The record is from RNAcentral.
GUCCACGCCGUAAACGUUGGGAACUAGGUGUUGGCGACAUUCCACGUCGUCGGUGCCGCAGCUAACGCAUUAAGUUCCCCGCCUGGGGAGUACGGCCGCAAGGCUAAAACUCAAAGGAAUUGACGGGGGCCCGCACAAGCAGCGGAGCAUGUGGCUUAAUUCGACGCAACGCGAAGAACCUUACCAAGGCUUGACAUAUACCGGAAACGGCUAGAGAUAGUCGCCCCCUUGUGGUCGGUAUACAGGUGGUGCAUGGUUGUCGU